UGGACUCCCGAGCUCGCCUUCCUAGUCUCGGGCAGCACUGAUGACCAUAGGCUGGUGUCUUAGUCCAGUCUGCUAUCACAAAGUCUCCCAGGGAAGUUAGAAGUUCAAGAUCAGGGGGACAACAGGGUUCUGAAAGAGGAAAUUUUCUGCCAAACAUUCAUCUCUGCAAGAUUAGAUGUCUCAGGAAUAGCUCACCAUCCAGGAGCCUCACAGUGGGAAUGCCACAGGACUCUGAACCUCAGCCACAGAGCAGAAGUUCAUGAUACAUUAAAAUUCCAGAGAUACACAGAUUUCAGGAACCACAGAAAGGGUAACUUGAUUUUCUUCCACUGACUGCUCUGUUGGUUUCUUUCCUGGAUUAUCGUGCAGCUGGGAGUGGGCCAGGAAGCCCAUUAAGAGCUUCUCACUGUCUUUCUGAUAAAAUCCAACCUCCCUUCCAGAUAUUGUUUGUUCAUAUGAGAAAAAAAGAAACAAUCCCCGAAAGAUCGGUGCUGUCUGUCCUGCAAGAUGGAUCUUUAUUAAAAAUUAUAUUUGAUUCAAUCACAAUCAUUAUAAAUUAAAAAAAAGAAAACUGAGUCCAGGA
This is a long non-coding RNA of Marmota flaviventris (yellow-bellied marmot), 583 nucleotides long. RefSeq lists it as uncharacterized. The record is from RefSeq and is a predicted model, not a curated record. Lineage: Eukaryota; Metazoa; Chordata; Mammalia; Rodentia; Sciuridae.